GGGACACGUGGUAUCCUGUCUGAAUAUGGGGGGACCAUCCUCCAAGGCUAAAUACUCCUGACUGACCGAUAGUGAACCAGUACCGUGAGGGAAAGGCGAAAAGAACCCCGGCGAGGGGAGUGAAAAAGAACCUGAAACCGUGUACGUACAAGCAGUGGGAGCCUCUUAAUGGGGUGACUGCGUACCUUUUGUAUAAUGGGUCAGCGACUUAUAUUCUGUAGCAAGGUUAACCGAAUAGGGGAGCCGAAGGGAAACCGAGUCUUAACUGGGCGUUAAGUUGCAGGGUAUAGACCCGAAACCCGGUGAUCUAGCCAUGGGCAGGUUGAAGGUUGGGUAACACUAACUGGAGGACCGAACCGACUAAUGUUGAAAAAUUAGCGGAUGACUUGUGGCUGGGGGUGAAAGGCCAAUCAAACCGGGAGAUAGCUGGUUCUCCCCGAAAGCUAUUUAGGUAGCGCCUCGUGAAUUCAUCUCCGGGGGUAGAGCACUGUUUCGGCAAGGGGGUCAUCCCGACUUACCAACCCGAUGCAAACUGCGAAUACCGGAGAAUGUUAUCACGGGAGACACACGGCGGGUGCUAACGUCCGUCGUGAAGAGGGAAACAACCCAGACCGCCAGCUAAGGUCCCAAAGUCAUGGUUAAGUGGGAAACGAUGUGGGAAGGCCCAGACAGCCAGGAUGUUGGCUUAGAAGCAGCCAUCAUUUAAAGAAAGCGUAAUAGCUCACUGGUCGAGUCGGCCUGCGCGGAAGAUGUAACGGGGCUAAACCAUGCACCGAAGCUGCGGCAGCGACACUAUGUGUUGUUGGGUAGGGGAGCGUUCUGUAAGCCUGUGAAGGUGGCCUGUGAGGGUUGCUGGAGGUAUCAGAAGUGCGAAUGCUGACAUAAGUAACGAUAAAGCGGGUGAAAAGCCCGCUCGCCGGAAGACCAAGGGUUCCUGUCCAACGUUAAUCGGGGCAGGGUGAGUCGACCCCUAAGGCGAGGCCGAAAGGCGUAGUCGAUGGGAAACAGGUUAAUAUUCCUGUACUUGGUGUUACUGCGAAGGGGGGACGGAGAAGGCUAUGUUGGCCGGGCGACGGUUGUCCCGGUUUAAGCGUGUAGGCUGGUUUUCCAGGCAAAUCCGGAAAAUCAAGGCUGAGGCGUGAUGACGAGGCACUACGGUGCUGAAGUAACAAAUGCCCUGCUUCCAGGAAAAGCCUCUAAGCAUCAGGUAACAUCAAAUCGUACCCCAAACCGACACAGGUGGUCAGGUAGAGAAUACCAAGGCGCUUGAGAGAACUCGGGUGAAGGAACUAGGCAAAAUGGUGCCGUAACUUCGGGAGAAGGCACGCUGAUAUGUAGGUGAAGCGACUUGCUCGUGGAGCUGAAAUCAGUCGAAGAUACCAGCUGGCUGCAACUGUUUAUUAAAAACACAGCACUGUGCAAACACGAAAGUGGACGUAUACGGUGUGACGCCUGCCCGGUGCCGGAAGGUUAAUUGAUGGGGUUAGCGGUAACGCGAAGCUCUUGAUCGAAGCCCCGGUAAACGGCGGCCGUAACUAUAACGGUCCUAAGGUAGCGAAAUUCCUUGUCGGGUAAGUUCCGACCUGCACGAAUGGCGUAAUGAUGGCCAGGCUGUCUCCACCCGAGACUCAGUGAAAUUGAACUCGCUGUGAAGAUGCAGUGUACCCGCGGCAAGACGGAAAGACCCCGUGAACCUUUACUAUAGCUUGACACUGAACAUUGAGCCUUGAUGUGUAGGAUAGGUGGGAGGCUUUGAAGUGUGGACGCCAGUCUGCAUGGAGCCGACCUUGAAAUACCACCCUUUAAUGU
RNAcentral lists this ribosomal RNA (1809 nucleotides) under Escherichia coli. RNAcentral describes it as "partial 23S ribosomal RNA". It matches the Rfam family "Bacterial large subunit ribosomal RNA", at positions 419 to 2213 of the family's 2925-position model. Lineage: Bacteria; Pseudomonadati; Pseudomonadota; Gammaproteobacteria; Enterobacterales; Enterobacteriaceae. The record is from RNAcentral.